UAUACAGAUUUUGCACACAAUUGAGGAAUCAUAACUUUUAUACUUUUAUACUGAAACAAAUGCUAAUAAUACAUAGUUAUCCUACUGAUGUUUAUGGUUGUAAAUUUAUGUGAAGAUAACUUGAAAAUCAAUUGCAAUAUAAGGCUAUUUAUUGUCUGUGGAUUUACAUCUUUAUUCUCAAACCACCUGGUGAAGGGGGUGCCACUAAUGCUGUUCUGAAAAGAAUAAUAAAUAUAAAAAUCUAAAAAAAAAUAAUAGAAAAGAAUCGAAGAGAAUUACUUUCCGGGAAAAAAAUUCCCAUUCCACCUUACACAUUUUAGAGCAAUUAGCAAUAAUAUACGAUUGCAUUGACGAUAAGGUAACCUGUUCUACUUUUAUUGCAUGAAUAAAUAGUCACCUACUAUAAACCUCCCUAUCCCCUCCCCCUUUUUUUUGCUUCCAAGGCCUGCACAAUGUGACUAAUACAUUUUUAUUUAGAAUUGUAAAUCCAAACACUAACAGGAAAAGUUCCUGAGUUUUCGGCUCCAUGUUUUCUAAGCACAAAGGUAAUCUCAGGCACAUGGAGAGGAAACUAGAAAUUCUGCCCUGCACUUCCUUUUAUCUUCUCAGGAUCCUUCCUCAAUGCAAAGCAGCCCUCAGGCCCAGAUUGAAAGCCCAGGCCUAGCUGAGGAGCCCCAUCUCCUUCUCACUAGAGCCUCCAUCACAGCAUGGCUGUCCUGGUGCUGUUGCUCUGCCUGAUGACAUUUCCAAGCUGUGUCCUGUCCCAGGUGCAGCUGAAGGAGUCAGGACCUGGCCUGGUGCAGCCCUCACAGACCCUGUCUCUCACCUGCACUGUCUCUGGGUUCUCAUUAACCAGCUAUCAUGUGCACUGGGUUCGACAGCCUCCAGGAAAAGGUCUGGAGUGGAUGGGAGUAAUGUGGAGUGAUGGAGACACAUCAUAUAAUUCAGCUCUCAAAUCCCGACUGAGCAUCAGCAGGGACACCUCCAAGAGCCAAGUUUUCUUAAAAAUGAGCAGUCUGCAAACUGAAGACACAGCCACUUACUACUGUGCCAGAGACACAAUGAGGGAAGUCCAGUGUGAACUUGCACAAAAACUUCCCUACAGGGAUUCUUAGGACCAGCAGGGGGCACUGAGGAUCAACAAGUUCUUUCCAGGAUCACUUCAGAUUUUAGAAAGCUCUGGCUUAUGAUGUUUAAGCAUGGGUUUUAAUAUUAAAGAUAGGGACUCUUCUUCCAGCCAUGGAAAUUCUCUAGCACAUACUCUUCAGUGUCAUAUUCUAUUAAACUUCUUGUUUCUUCACACAAUAGAAGAAUUAUUAAGUGGUUCUAUAAUCUUACAGUGUAAAAUAAGAACAAAUUAUUGAGUUGAUAUUUAUGAAGAUGACUCAGUGAAAC
Rattus norvegicus (Norway rat) is the source of this 1395-nucleotide non-coding RNA. The record is from the annotation of a RefSeq genome assembly. NCBI's taxonomy places the organism in Eukaryota, Metazoa, Chordata, Mammalia, Rodentia, Muridae.